UUCGAGUGGCGGACGGGUGAGUAACGCGUGGGUAACCUGCCUUACACAGGGGGAUAACACCUGGAAACAGGUGCUAAUACCGCAUAAGCGCACAGGGCCGCAUGGCCCGGUGUGAAAAACUCCGGUGGUGUAAGAUGGACCCGCGUCUGAUUAGCCUGUUGGCGGGGUAGAGGCCCACCAAGGCGACGAUCAGUAGCCGGCCUGAGAGGGUGGACGGCCACAUUGGGACUGAGACACGGCCCAAACUCCUACGGAAGGCAGCAG
Molecule: ribosomal RNA, 264 nt
Filed under: uncultured bacterium
Lineage: Bacteria
Description: partial 16S ribosomal RNA
Rfam family: Bacterial small subunit ribosomal RNA
Source: RNAcentral